UUCGCUGGCGGCGUGCCUAAUACAUGCAAGUCGAGCGGACAGAUGGGAGCUUGCUCCCUGAUGUUAGCGGCGGACGGGUGAGUAACACGUGGGUAACCUGCCUGUAAGACUGGGAUAACUCCGGGAAACCGGGGCUAAUACCGGAUGGUUGUUUGAACCGCAUGGUUCAAACAUAAAAGGUGGCUUCGGCUACCACUUACAGAUGGACCCGCGGCGCAUUAGCUAGUUGGUGAGGUAACGGCUCACCAAGGCAACGAUGCGUAGCCGACCUGAGAGGGUGAUCGGCCACACUGGGACUGAGACACGGCCCAGACUCCUACGGGAGGCAGCAGUAGGGAAUCUUCCGCAAUGGACGAAAGUCUGACGGAGCAACGCCGCGUGAGUGAUGAAGGUUUUCGGAUCGUAAAGCUCUGUUGUUAGGGAAGAACAAGUACCGUUCGAAUAGGGCGGUACCUUGACGGUACCUAACCAGAAAGCCACGGCUAACUACGUGCCAGCAGCCGCGGUAAUACGUAGGUGGCAAGCGUUGUCCGGAAUAUUGGGCGUAAAGGGCUCGCAGG
RNAcentral lists this ribosomal RNA (560 nucleotides) under Bacillus sp. Ni29. Its description in RNAcentral is "bacterial SSU rRNA". It matches the Rfam family "Bacterial small subunit ribosomal RNA", at positions 32 to 575 of the family's 1533-position model. Lineage: Bacteria; Bacillati; Bacillota; Bacilli; Caryophanales; Bacillaceae. The record is from RNAcentral.